CCUACGGGAGGCAGCAGUGAGGAAUAUUGGUCAAUGGGCGUAAGCCUGAACCAGCCAAGUCGCGUGAGGGAUGAAGGUUCUAUGGAUCGUAAACCUCUUUUAUAAGGGAAUAAAGUGCGGGUCGUGUCCCGUUUUGUAUGUACCUUAUGAUUAAGGAUCGGCUGACUUCGUGCCAGCAGCCGCGGUAAUACGGUGGAUCCGAGCGUUAUCCGGUUUUAUUGGGUUUAAAGGGUGCGUAGGCGGCCUUUUUAGUUAGCGGUGAAAGUCUGUGGCUCAACCAUAGAAUUGCCGUUGAAACUGGGAGACUUGAGUAUGUUUGAGGCAGGCGGAAGGCGUGGUGUAGCGGUGAAAUGCUUAGAUAUAGCGCAGAACACCGAUGGCGAAGGCAGCCUGCCAGGCCAUGACUGACGCUGAUGGACGAAAGCGUGGGGAUCAAACAGGAUUAGAUACCCGGGUAGUC
This 460-nucleotide ribosomal RNA is filed under the name uncultured bacterium. RNAcentral describes it as "partial 16S ribosomal RNA". It matches the Rfam family "Bacterial small subunit ribosomal RNA", at positions 338 to 795 of the family's 1533-position model. The record is from RNAcentral.